This is a long non-coding RNA of Coffea arabica (coffee), 754 nucleotides long. RefSeq lists it as uncharacterized. NCBI's taxonomy places the organism in Eukaryota, Viridiplantae, Streptophyta, Magnoliopsida, Gentianales, Rubiaceae. The record is from RefSeq and is a predicted model, not a curated record.
UCCAUUUCUUUCUCUGCACCAAAACCGUAAACCAUUCUCUCCACUUCAUAUCACAAACCGCGGCACCAUAUUUCUGUUUCAUUUCUCAUAUCACUUACCGCAACUCCAUUCCCUUUCCUCUGCAACAAUUCACCUCAGACCACACUCCACCUUCACCUCGUUAACAUCGACUGAGAUUGAGAGAGAGAGACUGAGCCGCACUCUGCAAUCCGAGAGGGAAGAAAAGAAUCCGCGAGCUGCAAAUUUUUCCUGCUCUGUCCGUGAGAUGGAGAGAAGAAAGGGGAGCAGCACCGCGUGAGCUCCACCCCUUGUCGCACUCUUCACCUUCCACCAACCACAACCAUCUUCACCGCAACACCAUACUAGCUGCAAUCCGUUUCCAGCAGCAACUACUGCAACCAGAAUCAAACCCGUACGUGAGAACCGAGAGGAGAGAAAAUUUCAGUUUCUCUGCCGUGUGAGUGAGCUUCGGUCUGAGGGUAUUGCGAGGACGCGGAAUUCGAUUCCAAUUUGAUAUCUGAACUCCACUCUUGGUUCUGGAAACUGAAAGCUGGAUGCCUAUUUAUGUUUCCUUUUGGAUUGUAUUUGAUCACUAAUACUUAUUCUGUGGGCUGUCAUGUGUUACUUGGGAUAAUGUAUUUUCCUUUUUGGAUUGCCACUUGAAGCUGGAAAAUGUGUAAACCCUAAUUCGAUUACUUAACUUGUAAGUUUGUAUUAUGGAUUUAUGUAUUUAUCCAUCUGGUUGGGUACGGCU